Molecule: ribosomal RNA, 508 nt
Filed under: uncultured bacterium
Lineage: Bacteria
Description: partial 16S ribosomal RNA
Rfam family: Bacterial small subunit ribosomal RNA
Source: RNAcentral
AUUGAACGCUGGCGGCAGGCCUAACACAUGCAAGUCGAGCGGCAGCGGGAAAGUAGCUUGCUACUUUUGCCGGCGAGCGGCGGACGGGUGAGUAAUGCCUGGGAAAUUGCCCAGUCGAGGGGGAUAACAGUUGGAAACGACUGCUAAUACCGCAUACGCCCUACGGGGGAAAGCAGGGGACCUUCGGGCCUUGCGCGAUUGGAUAUGCCCAGGUGGGAUUAGCUAGUUGGUGAGGUAAUGGCUCACCAAGGCGACGAUCCCUAGCUGGUCUGAGAGGAUGAUCAGCCACACUGGAACUGAGACACGGUCCAGACUCCUACGGGAGGCAGCAGUGGGGAAUAUUGCACAAUGGGGGAAACCCUGAUGCAGCCAUGCCGCGUGUGUGAAGAAGGCCUUCGGGUUGUAAAGCACUUUCAGUGAGGAGGAAAGGUUGAUGCCUAAUACGUAUCAACUGUGACGCUACUCGCAGAAGAAGCACCGGCUAACUCCGUGCCAGCCGCCGCAGUAA